AAAGCAUCAUGAACCUAUUCCCCAAAGACUCCCGAAAGACUCGACCAGCUCUGAUACCACUAAUGUAACACCCCCUUUUCAGAGACUGAAAAGAAGAGCGUCACAAUUCUCUACCCAAAUUUAAAUGCUUAAAUACAACCAAAUAAAAUUAUGCUGGUUUAUUUUUGGUAAAGGAAAAGUAAUAAGUGAGAAAUGUUCUCGAAUAUAAGUACUAUUAUUUUUAUUUAAGAAAGUUUUCAAAAUUCUCUUUAUAAAAAUUUAAAGUAAGCCCAUAAAUAAUAUGCAUCACUUAUAUCAAACAAUCAUCCGGUAAUUUUGCUCAAAGGAUUUUCAAAUCUAAAACAUUUCCAUUUCACAUAAGUGUCUUACAAUUUUUCAAUAUGAAAUAAUAAAAGAUAAAUUCCUACAAAAGACUCUAACCCACAAACGAUCAUGAGCUGGUCAAACACUAAAGAUGCAUGUCAUCUAGAGAGUACCCCAAUGACGUCAUCAAUACAUAUCAAAGAGAUCUUUCUCUUCGGAAUCCAAAAAUAAAACUAGACCACCAAUCAGAUACCUAACGUUCUUUAUUUUAAUGUCUCUCACAAUGCCAUUUUCCUUUCCUCAAUGAACUUCAACCGGAGGUCUUAGUAUCCUGCACUAACUGUUGUAAGGGGUGAAUCACUCGUACACAAGUUACCAUCGUGAUGAUGUCACAAGGCUACACAUAAUAUUAUACAAGUAUAUACAUUUAUUUAACUAGUAUAUAUACAUACCUGAGUAUCUAAUUAUGUAUUUACAUCAAAUAGAAUCAAGUAGUCAAAUAGUCACGUAUAGUCAAAUAGUCACAAAGUGAAUUAAACAAACAUUAUAUCAUCAUCACUAAUCAACAAUUAGUCAGACAAGGAAAAUCAAAUAUAUN
RNAcentral lists this long non-coding RNA (901 nucleotides) under Trifolium pratense (red clover). RNAcentral describes it as "long non-coding RNA (TPRA_LNC006417)". The record is from RNAcentral. Lineage: Eukaryota; Viridiplantae; Streptophyta; Magnoliopsida; Fabales; Fabaceae.